RNAcentral lists this transfer RNA (72 nucleotides) under Equus asinus (donkey). It matches the Rfam family "tRNA". From Rfam's summary of the family: Transfer RNA (tRNA) molecules are approximately 80 nucleotides in length. Their secondary structure includes four short double-helical elements and three loops (D, anti-codon, and T loops). The record is from Rfam by way of RNAcentral. Lineage: Eukaryota; Metazoa; Chordata; Mammalia; Perissodactyla; Equidae. RNAcentral also lists the same sequence under 1 other name.
GCCCUGAUGGUCUAGUGGUUAAGAUUUGGCACUCUCACUGGCAGGGCCUGGGUUCACUUCCUGGUCAGGGAA